AGAAAACCUUAUCUGGAUUUGU
This 22-nucleotide microRNA is filed under the name Ornithorhynchus anatinus (platypus). RNAcentral's name for it is "oan-miR-1422k-3p". The record is from miRBase by way of RNAcentral. Lineage: Eukaryota; Metazoa; Chordata; Mammalia; Monotremata; Ornithorhynchidae.